CCGCGUGGGGCGGGGCAGUAGCGGAGCCUUGUAACCUACAAUCCGCUAAAGUAGGGCCGAUAAACCGCAUUGAGGGUAUGUCCUGUGGGGUCAGCACCGAAUAAGCAGCGUUGAAGGCCGGGUCCUGCGCGGCGGGCUGCCGUGAACCUCGUCAGGUCCGGAAGGAAGCAGCGAUAAGCGGAUAAGCCCGGGUGCCGUGGGUUCGCCUGGCUGGAGCCGGCUGUUCGGCAAGCGCUCGGAGGAUAGCAUUCGAAUACGGCUGCGCGG
This 267-nucleotide signal recognition particle RNA is filed under the name Clostridia bacterium. Its description in RNAcentral is "signal recognition particle sRNA large type". It matches the Rfam family "Bacterial large signal recognition particle RNA". Rfam says of the family: The signal recognition particle (SRP) is a universally conserved ribonucleoprotein involved in the co-translational targeting of proteins to membranes. Archaeal SRP consists of a 7S RNA and homologues of the eukaryotic SRP19 and SRP54 proteins. In most bacteria, the SRP consists of a 4.5S RNA and the Ffh protein (a homologue of the eukaryotic SRP54 protein). Lineage: Bacteria; Bacillati; Bacillota; Clostridia. The record is from RNAcentral.